UUUGUCCUACGGGACGCAGCAGUAGGGAAUCUUCCACAAUGGACGAAAGUCUGAUGGAGCAACGCCGCGUGAGUGAAGAAGGUUUUCGGAUCGUAAAGCUCUGUUGUAAGAGAAGAACGUGUGUGAGAGUGGAAAGUUCACACAGUGACGGUAACUUACCAGAAAGGGACGGCUAACUACGUGCCAGCAGCCGCGGUAAUACGUAGGUCCCGAGCGUUAUCCGGAUUUAUUGGGCGUAAAGCGAGCGCAGGCGGUUGGAUAAGUCUGAAGUUAAAGGCUGUGGGUCAACCAUAAGAUGCUUUGGG
RNAcentral lists this ribosomal RNA (305 nucleotides) under uncultured bacterium. RNAcentral describes it as "bacterial SSU rRNA". It matches the Rfam family "Bacterial small subunit ribosomal RNA", at positions 333 to 630 of the family's 1533-position model. The record is from RNAcentral.